RNAcentral lists this ribosomal RNA (498 nucleotides) under uncultured bacterium. RNAcentral's name for it is "partial 16S ribosomal RNA". It matches the Rfam family "Bacterial small subunit ribosomal RNA", at positions 28 to 507 of the family's 1533-position model. The record is from RNAcentral.
GAUGAACGCUGGCGGCGUGCCUAAUACAUGCAAGUCGAGCGAACUUUUGGGAGCUUGCUCCCAAAAGUUAGCGGCGGACGGGUGAGUAACACGUGGGUAACCUGCCUGUAAGACUGGGAUAACUUCGGGAAACCGGAGCUAAUACCGGAUAACAUUGAAGACUACAUGGCCUUCAAUUAAAAGUUGGCUUUUAGCUACCACUUACAGAUGCACCCGCGGCGCAUUAGCUAGUUGGUGAGGUAACGGCUCACCAAGGCGACGCUGCGUAGCCGACCUGAGAGGGUGGUCGGCCACACUGGGACUGAGACACGGCACAGACGGCUACGGGGGGCAGCAGUAGAGAAUAUUCGGCAAUGGAGGAGAGUCAGGCGGAGCGACGCGGCGAGAGGGAAGAAGACCUUCGGGUCGUAAAGAUCUGUUGUUAGGGAAGAACAAGUAUCGGCCGAAUAGGGCGGUAGCUUGACGGUACCUAAACAGAAAGCCACGGCUAACUACGUG